GUCUACUCUGCUGAAAGUUGGUGCUGUUGAUUUCUUGAUGGAAGGCUAAAGGAAUGGGUGGUUUCCUGCGAUUAAUUUUUUAAAGGCAACACAUCACACUUGCAUCUAGGGUGGCUAAAAGAAAGGGUGGCAUCCUGCGGUUAAUUUUUUUUUUUAAGGCAACAAACACAUCACGCACGUGUCUAGGGUGAGACAAGGGUGAGAUAAAAAGCUGAUACCAGAUAAGUAAAAAAGCUGCGCCCUGAACCUGCGCUUUGAGCAAGUGGUUAUGUUCAGAAGGAAACGAUGUCUCUUAGCACCUCGGGGGUGUUAAUCUCAUUCACAAAAUCCACACCCUCUACCUGUUUUGAAAACUAAAACAAAAACAAACUAGUAAAACCCACACUUAACAAUUGCAAACAACGAAGCAGCCACAUUUUAAAAGUCAUGGGGUACGCCUCCUCGCCGGCGACGCACCGCACGUCAGUAAGAAACCUGGUGCGAAACCAUCCCUAGAUUACCUGCUUCUGGGUCGGGAGGUUCGUACAGAGCAGAGCAGUUCCCCGCUGCGAUCUACUGAAAGUCAGCCCUCGAUAUAACGGUUUGAAAAAGAAAAGAAAAAGAAAAAGAGAAAUAAAUAAAAAGAAAAACAAGAACAAAAACCCAUCGGUACAGCACCGAAGGGGGUGGGCCCUGGCUCUGGGCCCCGGCCCCGGGAGGCCGCCUAUUUUAUCACCCUUAGCUUCUCCAGGGGCCACUCACGUCACGGUCUCCAGCGCAGGACCAGGCUCUGCCCCACCGACUUGGAGACGGGCUACGAGAGGGGUCUGCGGGGGAGAGCGCGGAGCGGGGCGCAGCCUCAGCGCGCGGGGUUUCCCGGCGGGCCGGGAGCGGCGGGAGCUGCGGCUGCUGCAGUCAUAUGAUCUUCACUGAUACAUGACCGAAUUUGAUCCACAUGACUCUGGAGAACAUUGAACUUUUUUGGGGUAGUAGUUUACAUUGCUUUUUAAAAUUUAUAAUGUUUUAUACUUUAUAGUUAGUUCUCACAGAACUGAGAGAGCACUUACUAUUAGAAUCCAUUUUGUACAAUUGAUCCUGUGUUUAAAAUUCAAUUUUUCAUGCUGUACAUAUACAUAUAUACCUGCUCACAGCAAAAAGAACUUCAUGAUGUAUUUAUAAGUUUCGGUGUUUAUAAUAUCACUUGAUAAGAAGUAACAGCAUUUUGAUUAUGAUACACCAAAAGAAACCCAGGUCAUUUAGCCCAACUCUCUAAUUUAAUAAACCAGAAAACUAAGUUAGGCAAUUUUGUCUAUGUCACAAACCAAGCCAUCAUGAUCUUGUAGUGAAAUGGCUGGUCCAUAACUCCAAACCAAAAUCUUAUAAUCAAUGGACUCCUCUAAAAUGCCACUUAAAAUAUUCUUUACUGUGAAUUUUAAUUUUUCUUCAUAAACUGUUUCAUUUUAUUUCUCAUACCUAAAUGUUAUCCUUUCCUUUUCCAUUUCAAAAUAGUCCUUGCUGUACUGGAGAAAAGUCUAAGAAAUACUGCUCAUUUAUUUAGUAUCUAUUUGUCCACCAUACCAUUUUGUCUUUUAAGUUAGUAACAAAUAAACAAAAUGCAAAUAUAAAACUCUAAAACUAGAAUUAAAAAAAAAAGCUUUUCCCUCAAAAUCUACUACAGAAUUAUUAUUCAGGAAUUUAUUUUCUUGAGCUGUAUAAUUCCAGGAAUGUUUCAUUUUUUUCCCCUACUUGUUAUAUGGUAUAUUUGUAUUUAUGCAGAAACUAUUUCCAGAUUUCAUAUCCUCUGGUCUAUUAUUCUGGGGCUUAUUUAUUUAUCUUUAAUCUAGAAAAUAUCCCUCAAACUGACAAUAUAUCCUUCUAUUUAACUAUAUGUUUCUUAGGCCCAUGUCAAAUAUCA
This is a long non-coding RNA of Dasypus novemcinctus (nine-banded armadillo), 1894 nucleotides long. Lineage: Eukaryota; Metazoa; Chordata; Mammalia; Cingulata; Dasypodidae. The record is from Ensembl.